UGGGCAAUCUGCCCUAAAGACUGGGAUACCACUUGGAAACAGGUGCUAAUACCGGAUAACAACAUGAAUCGCAUGAUUCAAGUUUGAAAGGCGGCGUAAGCUGUCACUUUAGGAUGAGCCCGCGGCGCAUUAGCUAGUUGGUGGGGUAAAGGCCUACCAAGGCAAUGAUGCGUAGCCGAGUUGAGAGACUGAUCGGCCACAUUGGGACUGAGACACGGCCCAAACUCCUACGGGAGGCAGCAGUC
Molecule: ribosomal RNA, 245 nt
Filed under: uncultured Lactobacillus sp.
Lineage: Bacteria; Bacillati; Bacillota; Bacilli; Lactobacillales; Lactobacillaceae
Description: partial 16S ribosomal RNA
Rfam family: Bacterial small subunit ribosomal RNA
Source: RNAcentral